This 456-nucleotide ribosomal RNA is filed under the name uncultured Campylobacterota bacterium. RNAcentral describes it as "bacterial SSU rRNA". It matches the Rfam family "Bacterial small subunit ribosomal RNA", at positions 74 to 551 of the family's 1533-position model. Lineage: Bacteria; Pseudomonadati; Campylobacterota. The record is from RNAcentral.
CCUAGCUUGCUAGGUGGAUUAGUGGCGCACGGGUGAGUAAUAUAUAGAUAACGUGCCUCUUAGUCUGGGAUAGCCAUUGGAAACGAUGAUUAAUACUAGAUACUCCUUCUAACUCUAAUGUUAGUCGGGAAAGUUUUUCGCUAAGAGAUCGGUCUAUAUCCCAUCAGCUAGUUGGUAGUGUAAGAGACUACCAAGGCAAUGACGGGUAGCGGGUUUGAGAGGAUGAUCCGCCACACUGGUACUGAGACACGGACCAGACUCCUACGGGAGGCAGCAGUGAGGAAUAUUGCACAAUGGAGGAAACUCUGAUGCAGCAACGCCGCGUGGAGGAUGACGCAUUUCGGUGUGUAAACUCCUUUUAUAUGUCAAGAAAAUGACGGUAGCAUAUGAAUAAGCACCGGCUAACUCCGUGCCAGCAGCCGCGGUAAUACGGAGGGUGCAAGCGUUAUUCGGAAU